RNAcentral lists this ribosomal RNA (253 nucleotides) under uncultured bacterium. RNAcentral describes it as "partial 16S ribosomal RNA". It matches the Rfam family "Bacterial small subunit ribosomal RNA", at positions 524 to 776 of the family's 1533-position model. The record is from RNAcentral.
UACGAAGGGGGCUAGCGUUGCUCGGAAUCAUUGGGCGUAAAGGGUGCGUAGGCGGCGCGGUAAGUCGGGUGUGAAAUCUCGGAGCUCAACUCCAGAACUGCCUUUGAUACUGGCGAUCUUGAGUCCGGGAGAGGUGAGUGGAACUGCGAGUGUAGAGGUGAAAUUCGUAGAUAUUCGCAAGAACACCAGUGGCGAAGGCGGCUCACUGGCCCGGUACUGACGCUGAGGUGCGAAAGCGUGGGGAGCAGACGGG